CGGUACAGUCGGUGACAGGUGGUGCAUGGUUGUCGUCAGCUCGUGUCGUGAGAUGUUGGGUUAAGUCCCGCAACGAGCGCAACCCCUAUUGUUAGUUGCCAUCAUUCAGUUUGGGCACUCUAGCGAGACUGCCGGUAAUAAACCGGAGGAAGUGGGAUGACGUCAAUCAUCAUGCCCCUUAUGACCUGGGCUACACACGUGCUACAAUGGUUGGUACAACGAGUUGCGAGUCGGUGACGGCGAGCUAAAUCUCUUAAAGCCAAUCUCAGUUCGGAUUGUAGGCUGCAACUCGCCUACAUGAAGUCGGAAUCGCUAGUAAUCGCGGAUCAGCACGCCGCGGUGAAUACGUUCCCGGGCCUU
Molecule: ribosomal RNA, 360 nt
Filed under: uncultured Streptococcus sp.
Lineage: Bacteria; Bacillati; Bacillota; Bacilli; Lactobacillales; Streptococcaceae
Description: bacterial SSU rRNA
Rfam family: Bacterial small subunit ribosomal RNA
Source: RNAcentral